Molecule: long non-coding RNA, 1896 nt
Filed under: Homo sapiens (human)
Lineage: Eukaryota; Metazoa; Chordata; Mammalia; Primates; Hominidae
Description: HSALNT0338432
Source: RNAcentral
AUCCACCCACCUCGGGCUCCCAAGGUGCUGGGAUUACAGGCGUGAGCCACCGCGCCCGGCCAAAACAAACACUUUUACGACAAUUGAAAAAUAGAAGUUUCCAAUUCAAUUUUGCAACUAAAAAAUAAUAAUAAUGUGGUGCCUUCAUGUUAAACUUUGGAAAAAGCCAGGGAAGUGGCUUGCUCUGGUGAAUAAAUUCUGUAGACCCUUAAGGCUGUUCGCAGCGUACACCAAGACUUCCGAGGCAAGUGGGGGCUCCCCCUGGCGGCUGCGCCGGGUGGCUGCUCCGGGAUUGUGCGGACCUCCGAGCUACACCGUCUCCAACCAACAGAAGCCAGCAGGAACCUGCCUUAGAUGUGGGAAUGAGACAACACAACUUCUCCCAUAGGCCUGGUGGUCAGAGAGGCUGGAUCAAGAAUCUCCACAGCCCAGCGAGAAGCCACGCGAACACACCCCUGUGUGGGUAUCCGUGACCUGGCGGCCUGCAGAACUCCUGGGCCAGAGACGUCCUCAUCCUGUUGGAAUAUCCAGGUAUCUCCACUCCGAAUAUCCUCAUCUUCCUGGAACCCCUCUUUUUCUCCUAACAUUCUCUUAAAUGAAAUUCCAUAUCUGCUACAACACAGAAAGAGAGGCGGAACAAGAAAAACUGGUGAUCCACUAAUAAGAAGGCCCUGGAGCCUCUCGAUGUUUAAUCUUCUCAAGGGAUGAGAAUGUGUCUCGUACUUCUCAGCAUCUGAAACGCAGCCUUCGCUAAUGGGUCAGUUUCACUGGACGUACUCCCAGGAUCAUAGAUGGCAGCCGGGGAAGGCAGUGAGGGUGGAAAUGUCUCACUAGGCUGAAUUGAAGUGAGGCCUACCCGUUGCCUCCUUUGCAUGUGUUUAAGUAUUAGAAGAAUCUAGUAAUUUGCCCAUAAGAGAUAAUCAAACAAGAAAACAAAGGUGUAUGUGCAAAGAUUUGAAUCUUAGCUUUAUUUGAAAUAACAGAAAAUUGGAAGUCAAUUCAUGUCCAUCAGCGUGGGGCUGGCCACCUGCCAAUUCAUGUCCAUUUCCCUGGAGGGAAAUGACCCAACCAUGGAGAGAACGAUGUUCACUGAUUGCAUUGGCGUGGCAAGAACUCCAUGGCAUGUUGCAUCAUGAAGAAAGCUGCCCCGCAAAAUGAGAUGCGAUUGACGUUGAUGUGUCUGUACUUGUGCAAAGAGAGAUUUGGGAAAGGAAGUUUACUGAAGUGUUAACAAUGGGUUACAAGUUUUGAAGUGAUUUUAAUUUCUUUUUUUUUAAGUUUCUGUUAGGCUGGGAUUUUCCCCAUAGAUAUGCAUCAUCUAUGUCAGCAAUCCCCAACCUUUUGGGCACCAGGACAGGUUUCGUGAAAGACAAUUUUUCCACGGACCAGGAGUGGGAGGGACGGUUUCAGGAUGAUUCAAGCACAUUACGUUUAUCAUUAGAUUCUCACAAGGAGCAUGCAAGCUAGAUCCCUUGCAUGCCCAGUUCACAAUAGGGUUCGUGCUCCUAUGAGAAUCUGAUGUUGCCACUGGUCUGACAGGAGGUGGAGCUCAGCUUCGCUCACUUGCCCCACCACUCACCUCCUGCUGUGCAGCCCAGUUCCUAACAGGCCACAGACCAGUAUACCAGUCUGUCACCUGGGGGUUGGGGAUCCCUGAUUUUUGUAAUUGGAAGUAAAGUUGUUCGCAUUACUUUAAAAUAAAGACAGUACCAUCGUUAUAAAGUAUUCUCUAAGUGCAAUCAUAGGGAAAAGUUCUGCUGAAAACUCUAGGGAUGGUUAGUCGUUUUAGGGAAAUACGGGGAACUAGAUGGAUUCUGGUUUUUAUUUAUCUUCCUUCAAAACAGCUACUAGUAAUCUGCAGAAAAGAUGCAUGGGAAAUAAACCAGGAAAACUGAG